RNAcentral lists this long non-coding RNA (440 nucleotides) under Setaria viridis. RNAcentral describes it as "long non-coding RNA (SVIR_LNC008124)". The record is from RNAcentral. Lineage: Eukaryota; Viridiplantae; Streptophyta; Magnoliopsida; Poales; Poaceae.
AAACAAAUCCGUGACAAAGUGACAGCCAAAAGCAUUUAAGUUCAUUACAUAAUCUGGAUUUAAUGCUAGAAAGCGAAAACUUAAGCAACUACUCCGCAGGGGCUUCGGGAGGGACUUCGCCUCGGAUCACAGCUGGCGAGAUCUGCCCGACCUCCUACUGCAUGCCUGGAGCUACCAUCUCCAUGAGCUGCGUCAGCUCCUUGGAGGUGCGGUUCCUCGCGUAGCCGCUCCCAAUGGUAGAGAAGUCCACACCAUCAUAGUGUGUGGCCACCAAGGUGAAAGCGGUAUGGGCACCCUGGUGGAGUGCCUCCAUGAUUAGGUCAUCCACCCGACCAUGUGCCACCUAAAGUCACUCCACAAGUGGUCCCUCGGGCACCACAACCACGAAUAGGUGGGCCCAGAGCACCUCCGAUGCGCCCCAAACUGACUCGAGGUCCCAG